This 1536-nucleotide ribosomal RNA is filed under the name metagenome. RNAcentral's name for it is "bacterial SSU rRNA". It matches the Rfam family "Bacterial small subunit ribosomal RNA". The record is from RNAcentral.
AGAGUUUGAUCCUGGCUCAGAACGAACGCUGGCGGCGUGCCAAAUACAUGCAAGUCGAACGAGAAAGUGUAGCAAUACAUUAGUAAAGUGGCAGACGGGUGAGUAAUACAUAGGUAACCUACCUCUAUAUUGGGGAUAACCUUCCGAAAGGAGGGCUAAUACCGAAUGAGACCACAGGGACACAUGUCCAAGGGGUUAAAGACGGCCUCUACUUGUAAGCUGUCGUAUAGAGAAGGGCUUAUGCACCAUUAGCCUGUUGGUGAGGUAACGGCUCACCAAAGCUACGAUGGUUAGCUGAUCUGAGAGGUUGAUCAGCCACACUGGAACUGAGACACGGUCCAGACUCCUACGGGAGGCAGCAGUAGGGAAUAUUGCGCAAUGGAGGAAACUCUGACGCAGCGACGCCGCGUGGGUGAUGAAGGCCUUCGGGUCGUAAAGCCCUGUCGAAAGGGAAGAAACAUAUUAUGGCUAAUAUCCAUAGUACUUGACGGUACCUUUAGAGGAAGCACCGGCUAACUACUUGCCAGCAGCCGCGGUAAUACGUAGGGUGCGAGCGUUGUUCGGAAUCAUUGGGCGUAAAGCGAGAGUAGGUGGUUUGCUAAGUCGGGUGUGAAAUCCCUGGGCUCAACCCAGGAAGUGCAUUCGAAACUAGCUGGCUAGAAGAUGGUAGAGGAAGGUGGAAUUCCAAGUGUAGAGGUGAAAUUCGUAGAUAUUUGGAGGAAUACCGGCGGCGAAGGCGGCCUUCUGGACCAUUCUUGACACUGAGACUCGAAAGCGUGGGUAGCAAACAGGAUUAGAUACCCUGGUAGUCCACGCCGUAAACGAUGGGUACUAGGUGUUGCGGGAAUUGACCCCUGCAGUGCCGAAGCUAACGCAUUAAGUACCCCGCCUGGGAAGUACGGCCGCAAGGUUAAAACUCAAAGGAAUUGACGGGGGCCCGCACAAGCGGUGGAGCAUGUGGUUUAAUUCGAUGCGACGCGAAGAACCUUACCUGGGUUAGACAAUAGAGGACCGCCGUAGAGAUACGGUUUUCCCUUCGGGGACCUCUAGUUUAGGUGCUGCAUGGCUGUCGUCAGCUCGUAUCGUGAGAUGUCGGGUUAAGUCCCUUAACGAGCGCAACCCCUAUCCCUAGUUGCCACCAUUAAGUUGGGCACUCUAUGGAGACCGCCGGUGUUAAACCGGAGGAAGGCGGGGAUGACGUCAAGUCCUCAUGGCCUUUAUGUCCAGGGCUACACACGUGCUACAAUGGCAGGUACAAAGGGUUGCCAACCCGCGAGGGGGAGCUAAUCUCAUAAAGCCUGUCUCAGUUCGGAUCGAAGUCUGCAAUUCGACUUCGUGAAGCUGGAAUCGCUAGUAAUCGCGGAUCAGAACGCCGCGGUGAAUACGUUCCCGGGCCUUGUACACACCGCCCGUCACACCACGAAAGUUAACUGCACCAGAAGUCGCCGUGCUAACCGUAAGGAGGCAAGCGCCCAAGGUUUGGUUGAUGAUUGGGGUGAAGUCGUAACAAGGUAGCCGUAGGGGAACCUGCGGCUG